This 466-nucleotide ribosomal RNA is filed under the name uncultured bacterium. RNAcentral describes it as "partial 16S ribosomal RNA". It matches the Rfam family "Bacterial small subunit ribosomal RNA", at positions 28 to 507 of the family's 1533-position model. The record is from RNAcentral.
GAUGAACGCUGGCGGCGUGCUUAACACAUGCAAGUCGAACGGAAAGGCUCCUGCUUGCAGGGGUACUCGAGUGGCGAACGGGUGAGUAACACGUGGGUGAUCUGCCCUGCACUUCGGGAUAAGCCUGGGAAACUGGGUCUAAUACCGGAUAGGACGAUGGUUUGGAUGCCAUUGUGGAAAGUUUUUUCGGUGUGGGAUGAGCUCGCGGCCUAUCAGCUUGUUGGUGGGGUAAUGGCCUACCAAGGCGUCGACGGGUAGCCGGCCUGAGAGGGUGUACGGCCACAUUGGGACUGAGGUACGGCCCAGACUCCUACGGGAGGCAGCAGUGGGGAAUAUUGCACAAUGGGCGCAAGCCUGAUGCAGCGACGCCGCGUGGGGGAUGACGGCCUUCGGGUUGUAAACUCCCUUCGCUAGGGACGAAGCGCAAGUGACGGUACCUGGAGAAGAAGCACCGGCUAUCUACGUG